RNAcentral lists this ribosomal RNA (253 nucleotides) under uncultured bacterium. RNAcentral's name for it is "partial 16S ribosomal RNA". It matches the Rfam family "Bacterial small subunit ribosomal RNA", at positions 524 to 776 of the family's 1533-position model. The record is from RNAcentral.
UACAGAGGGUGCGAGCGUUGUCCGGAAUCACUGGGCGUAAAGGGCGCGUAGGCGGUCUGCUAAGCGUGUGGUGAAAGCUCGGGGCUCAACCCCGGGUCGGCCAUGCGAACUGGUGGACUGGAGCUUGUCAGAGGCAGGCGGAAUUCCGGGUGUAGCGGUGGAAUGCGUAGAGAUCCGGAAGAACACCGGUGGCGAAGGCGGCCUGCUGGGACAAUGCUGACGCUGAGGCGCGACAGCGUGGGGAGCAAACAGG